CCUACGGGAGGCUGCAGUGAGGAAUAUUGGUCAAUGGCCGGAAGGCUGAACCAGCCAUGCCGCGUGAAGGUCAGUGCCCUAUGGGCGUUAAACUUCUUUUGUGCGGGAGCAAUAAUGGUCACGUGUGGCCAGACGAGAGUACCGUACGAAUAAGCAUCGGCUAACUCCGUGCCAGCAGCCGCGGUAAUACGGGGGAUGCAAGCGUUAUCCGGAUUUAUUGGGUUUAAAGGGUGCGUAGGCUGUGAGGUAAGUCAGCGGUGAAAUGCCCCCGCUCAACGGGGUGAAGUGCCAUUGAUACUGCCUGGCUGGAAUGCGGAUGCCGUGGGAGGAAUGUGGGGUGUAGCGGUGAAAUGCAUAGAUAUCACACAGAACACCGAUUGCGAAGGCAUCUCACGAAUCCGCGAUUGACGCUGAUGCACGAAAGCGGGGGUAUCAAACAGAUUAGAUACCCUGGUAGUC
RNAcentral lists this ribosomal RNA (459 nucleotides) under uncultured bacterium. RNAcentral's name for it is "partial 16S ribosomal RNA". It matches the Rfam family "Bacterial small subunit ribosomal RNA", at positions 338 to 795 of the family's 1533-position model. The record is from RNAcentral.